UGGUGGCGAGUGGCGAACGGGUGAGUAAUACAUCGGAACGUGCCCAGUCGUGGGGGAUAACGUAGCGAAAGCUACGCUAAUACCGCAUACGAACUCUGGUUGAAAGCGGGGGAUCGCAAGACCUCGCGCGAUUGGAGCGGCCGAUGGCAGAUUAGGUAGUUGGUGGGGUAAAGGCUCACCAAGCCGACGAUCUGUAGCUGGUCUGAGAGGACGACCAGCCACACUGGGACUGAGACACGGCCCAGACUCCUACGGGAGGCAGCAGUGGGGAAUUUUGGACAAUGGGCGCAAGCCUGAUCCAGCCAUUCCGCGUGCAGGAUGAAGGCCCUCGGGUUGUAAACUGCUUUUGUACGGAACGAAAAGGCUCUGGUUAAUACCUGGGGCUCAUGACGGUACCGUAAGAAUAAGCACCGGCUAACUACGUGCCAGCAGCCGCGGUAAUACGUAGGUGCAAGCGUUAAUCGGAAUUACUGGGCGUAAAGCGUGCGCAGGCGGUUAUGUAAGACAGGUGUGAAAUCCCCGGGCUUAACCUGGGAACUGCAUUUGUGACUGCAUAGCUAGAGUACGGUAGAGG
This 574-nucleotide ribosomal RNA is filed under the name Comamonadaceae bacterium. Its description in RNAcentral is "bacterial SSU rRNA". It matches the Rfam family "Bacterial small subunit ribosomal RNA", at positions 86 to 657 of the family's 1533-position model. The record is from RNAcentral. Lineage: Bacteria; Pseudomonadati; Pseudomonadota; Betaproteobacteria; Burkholderiales; Comamonadaceae.